CCUACGGGAGGCAGCAGUGAGGAAUAUUGGUCAAUGGACGCAAGUCUGAACCAGCCAUGCCGCGUGCAGGAAGACGGCUCUAUGAGUUGUAAACUGCUUUUGUACGAGGGUAAACGCAGAUACGCGUAUCUGUCUGAAAGUAUCGUACGAAUAAGGAUCGGCUAACUCCGUGCCAGCAGCCGCGGUAAUACGGAGGAUUCAAGCGUUAUCCGGAUUUAUUGGGUUUAAAGGGUGCGUAGGCGGUCGGAUAAGUUAGAGGUGAAAUCCCGCGGCUCAACUUCGGAAUUGCCUCUGAUACUGUACGGCUAGAGAGUAGUUGCGGUAGGCGGAAUGUAUGGUGUAGCGGUGAAAUGCUUAGAGAUCAUACAGAACACCGAUUGCGAAGGCAGCUUACCAAGCUACUUCUGACGUUGAGGCACGAAAGCGUGGGGAGCAAACAGGAUUAGAUACCCCAGUAGUC
Molecule: ribosomal RNA, 460 nt
Filed under: uncultured bacterium
Lineage: Bacteria
Description: partial 16S ribosomal RNA
Rfam family: Bacterial small subunit ribosomal RNA
Source: RNAcentral